This is a long non-coding RNA of Hemicordylus capensis (graceful crag lizard), 1541 nucleotides long. RefSeq lists it as uncharacterized. Lineage: Eukaryota; Metazoa; Chordata; Lepidosauria; Squamata; Cordylidae. The record is from RefSeq and is a predicted model, not a curated record. The transcript is spliced from 2 exons.
AUACCCUUAUCUCUUUGGCCUCUAUUCCGGAGGUGUGGUGAUGUCUGUGUUCUUGCUUUACACCCUUAUCUCUUUGGCCUUAGCCCAGCUCCCCCCCCCCUCGCGCCGCAGAGCAGGCUGGGAAGUGUAGUCUCCAUGGACCCUGAGGCCGGGCAGAGGCUCGCUUGGCUCCCUGGGCGCAGGCGCCGGGGCGCGCUGCCGAGAGUCACUGGCUCCUGGCCCUGGGCAGGUCGCGCUGCCUCCUCGCGAAAGGCCGCUCGCCUCUUGGCUGCCACAGUAGCCCCUCCUCAGGGGGGCGGGUGGGGGGGUCGUGCCCGCCGGGAGGGAAGGAGCUGCCUGCGCUUUGUCCGGUGACGUGGAAUGGGGGGGCAGUCGCCAUGUUGAGAAGGUCUUCCUGAUUCCCCGCGCCUGCGCAGAUGGAGCUAAUGGGAGCGGGAGGAGUCCGGCGCCAUCUUGGAGGCGCCCCUCUUCCGUCUCCUUCUCCAUCCCGGCGGCGGUUCCCCGCCGGCCUUCCGUGAAGCCCCGGACCCGCAAGUGAGAAGAAGAGGGGAGGUUUCGGCGAUGGCAGGUGACGGCUAGGAGAGUGAGGAGGAAGGAAGGCCCCACCCAUGACUGUGCAGAGGGAUCAGACGGAAAAAGAGGGAACAACAGAAGGAAAACCUUAAGCAGAGGAGAAGAACAAGAAAAACAGGGGAAAGAAGUGAGAAAUGAACACAAAGGGGAAACCGCAUAAAUGCUUGGAGUGUGGAAAGAGCUUCAGUGCGAGUUCCCACCUCACUUCACAUCAAAGAACCCACACUGGAGAGAGACCAUAUAAAUGCUUGGAGUGUGAUAAGUGAUUCAGUGACAGUGCAAAACUUAGCAAACAUCAAAGAACCCACACCAGAGAGAAACCAUUUCUGUGCUUGGAGUGUGGAAAGAGCUUCAGUGACAAUGGAAACCUUACCAUACAUCAAAGAAUUCACACUGGUGAGAAACCAUAUCACUGCCUGGAGUGUGGAAAGCGCUUCAGUAGCAAUGGAUCACUUCUUGUGCAUCAAAGAAGCCACACUGGAGAGAGACCAUAUCAGUGCUUGGAGUGUGGAAGGAGCUUCAGUGGGAGUGACUACCUCAAUUUACAUCAAAUGACUCACACUGGAGAGAAACCUUUUAAAUGCUUGGAGUGUCGAAAGAGCUUCAGCACCAGUGGAAAUCUUAAUCGGCAUCAAAGAACCCACACUGUGUAGAAACCACAUCCGUGCUCAGAGAGUGGAAAGAGCUUCAGCCAGAACAGGGAUCCUACUAAACGUCAAAGUACCCACAGUGGAAAUGGGGAUUUCUGUUUUAGAAUUUCACUUGGAAGUAAAGGAACCAUUUGCAACUUGAAGGAUUUCAUUUUAAACAUUAGCCAUUUUAUUUUAUAAUGGCCAUAUAUGGUAAGCUUGAAUCAUAGUACAUUUGAAUCUGAAAGGAUCUUCUGCUUUCUGGGGGCAUCAUGUUGUUUUAGAUGUAUCCUUGAGUGAUUAAAACCCCUUGAGAGCAAUAAAAGUGAAAAGGAUUAA